AUUGAACGCUGGCGGCAUGCCUUACACAUGCAAGUCGAACGGCAGCACGGGAGCAAUCCUGGUGGCGAGUGGCGAACGGGUGAGUAAUAUAUCGGAACGUGCCCGGUCGUGGGGGAUAACGUAGCGAAAGCUACGCUAAUACCGCAUACGAUCUACGGAUGAAGCGGGGGAUCGCAAGACCUCGCGCGAUUGGAGCGGCCGAUAUCAGAUUAGGUAGUUGGUGAGGUAAAGGCUCACCAAGCCGACGAUCUGUAGCUGGUCUGAGAGGACGACCAGCCACACCGGGACUGAGACACGGCCCAGACUCCUACGGGAGGCAGCAGUGGGGAAUUUUGGACAA
RNAcentral lists this ribosomal RNA (340 nucleotides) under uncultured bacterium. Its description in RNAcentral is "bacterial SSU rRNA". It matches the Rfam family "Bacterial small subunit ribosomal RNA", at positions 30 to 371 of the family's 1533-position model. The record is from RNAcentral.